Triticum aestivum (bread wheat) is the source of this 416-nucleotide long non-coding RNA. RefSeq lists it as uncharacterized. The record is from RefSeq and is a predicted model, not a curated record. The transcript has 3 exons. Lineage: Eukaryota; Viridiplantae; Streptophyta; Magnoliopsida; Poales; Poaceae.
CAGCCACCUCCUCGCCCGACGCCCCCAAACGCCCCACGCCGAAACCACCUCUACCUCACGUGAUCUUCGUUUGGAUCUCGCCGGAGCCGAGACGGUUCACCGUAGAUCCCGACGCCGGGAGCACCGGAGCCUCGCCGUGGACCUCACCCGACAUUGCCGGAGCAUUGAGUUCAUCUCGACGCUCCGCUCACCUCCGUCAUCCCCGACCUCCACCUUCAACUAAAAAUCGGACCCCCUCGGAGUCCUCCACCCGCUGGACAUCGCCGCCUCCACCGCCGGCCGCCGGAGCAGUCACCCUCGCUGGCGCUCUUCUUCUCUACAAGGGCCGCCCUCUCUGAUUUUCUUCGACGAGUAAGAGUUACGAUACAAGGUUACGGUCUACACUCAACUUGCUGAUGGCGUUGAUGGGACUCCAC